UUUUUUAGCUAUUUAUAGCUAAUUAACACAAUCCCGGGGCGUUCUAUAUAGUUAUGUAUAAUGUAUAUUUAUAUUAUUUAUGCCUCUAACUGGAACGUACCUUGAGCAUAUAUGCUGUGACCCGAAAGAUGGUGAACUAUACUUGAUCAGGUUGAAGUCAGGGGAAACCCUGAUGGAAGACCGAAACAGUUCUGACGUGCAAAUCGAUUGUCAGAAUUGAGUAUAGGGGCGAAAGACCAAUCGAACCAUCUAGUAGCUGGUUCCUUCCGAAGUUUCCCUCAGGAUAGCUGGUGCAUUUUAAUAUUAUAUAAAAUAAUCUUAUCUGGUAAAGCGAAUGAUUAGAGGCCUUAGGGUCGAAACGAUCUUAACCUAUUCUCAAACUUUAAAUGGGUAAGAACCUUAACUUUCUUGAUAUGAAGUUCAAGGUUAUGAUAUAAUGUGCCCAGUGGGCCACUUUUGGUAAGCAGAACUGGCGCUGUGGGAUGAACCAAACGUAAUGUUACGGUGCCCAAAUUAACAACUCAUGCAGAUACCAUGAAAGGCGUUGGUUGCUUAAAACAGCAGGACGGUGAUCAUGGAAGUCGAAAUCCGCUAAGGAGUGUGUAACAACUCACCUGCCGAAGCAACUAGCCCUUAAAAUGGAUGGCGCUUAAGUUGUAUACCUAUACAUUACCGCUAAAGUAGAUGAUUUAUAUUACUUGUGAUAUAAAUUUUGAAACUUUAGUGAGUAGGAAGGUACAAUGGUAUGCGUAGAAGUGUUUGGCGUAAGCCUGCAUGGAGCUGCCAUUGGUACAGAUCUUGGUGGUAGUAGCAAAUAAUCGAAUGAGACCUUGGAGGACUGAAGUGGAGAAGGGUUUCGUGUGAACAGUGGUUGAUCACGAGUUAGUCGGUCCUAAGUUCAAGGCGAAAGCCGAAAAUUUUCAAGUAAAACAAAAAUGCCUAACUAUAUAAACAAAGCGAAUUAUAAUACACUUGAAUAAUUUUGAACGAAAGGGAAUACGGUUCCAAUUCCGUAACCUGUUGAGUAUCCGUUUGUUAUUAAAUAUGGGCCUCGUGCUCAUCCUGGCAACAGGAACGACCAUAAAGAAGCCGUCGAGAGAUAUCGGAAGAGUUUUCUUUUCUGUUUUAUAGCCGUACUACCAUGGAAGUCUUUCGCAGAGAGAUAUGGUAGAUGGGCUAGAAGAGCAUGACAUAUACUGUUGUGUCGAUAUUUUCUCCUCGGACCUUGAAAAUUUAUGGUGGGGACACGCAAACUUCUCAACAGGCCGUACCAAUAUCCGCAGCUGGUCUCCAAGGUGAAGAGUCUCUAGUCGAUAGAAUAAUGUAGGUAAGGGAAGUCGGCAAAUUAGAUCCGUAACUUCGGGAUAAGGAUUGGCUCUGAAGAUUGAGAUAGUCGGGCUUGAUUGGGAAACAAUAACAUGGUUUAUGUGCUCGUUCUGGGUAAAUAGAGUUUCUAGCAUUUAUGUUAGUUACUUGUUCCCCGGAUAGUUUAGUUACGUAGCCAAUUGUGGAACUUUCUUGCUAAAAUUUUUAAGAAUACUAUUUGGGUUAAACCAAUUAGUUCUUAUUAAUUAUAACGAUUAUCAAUUAACAAUCAAUUCAGAACUGGCACGGACUUGGGGAAUCCGACUGUCUAAUUAAAACAAAGCAUUGUGAUGGCCCUAGCGGGUGUUGACACAAUGUGAUUUCUGCCCAGUGCUCUGAAUGUCAAAGUGAAGAAAUUCAAGUAAGCGCGGGUCAACGGCGGGAGUAACUAUGACUCUCUUGGGGAUCAUGGGGUAUUUGAGAGCAGAGGGGGAGUAUUCUUCUGUAAUUCGUAAGUCAUAUCAUAUGAUGUGCGGAAGGGGAAUUUUACUCUGUAACUCACAAGUCUCUCCUUUACUCAAGUCGACUCAAAACCUCCUCGUGGUGGUCCCCGGUAAUGCUAAACUCGUUUAGCAGCUAAUUUGAGCGGCAAAACUUUUCCGAUGGGCUGGUUCCCCAGAGGAAAUUUAUUCAUAUUGGAACUACAAGCACAAAUAACGAGCCUCGGAUACCUUUACACAAUCUGAUGACGACCCGACCCUCCGUGGAUAUCUUCCCGGAGGACCAAUAUGAACCAAACGCAGCGGCUACUCUAUCUAGGGUUCCCUGCACAGUAUGUGGCCGGUCCUUUAACAGCAAGAGAGGACUCGGUGUUCACAUGCGAUCUCGGCACCCAGACGAACUUGAUGAAGAACGUCGACGUGUCGAUAUAAAGGCAAGAUGGAGUGAUGAAGAGAAGUGGAUGAUGGCGAGAAAGGAGGUUGAGCUCACAGCAAAUGGAUGUAAACACAUAAACAAGCAACUAGCGGUGUAUUUUGCAAACCGCAGCGUCGAAGCCAUCAAAAAGCUAAGACAGAGGGGCGAUUAU
RNAcentral lists this ribosomal RNA (2392 nucleotides) under Drosophila melanogaster (fruit fly). RNAcentral describes it as "eukaryotic LSU rRNA". The stretch from base 1 to 1920 matches the Rfam family "Eukaryotic large subunit ribosomal RNA", at positions 727 to 3401 of the family's 3401-position model. The record is from RNAcentral. Lineage: Eukaryota; Metazoa; Arthropoda; Insecta; Diptera; Drosophilidae.